ACGUAGGACCCAAGCGUUAUCCGGAAUUACUGGGCGUAAAGAGUUGCGUAGGUGGUUUGUUAAGUGAAUAGUGAAAUCGUGCGGCUCAACCGUAUACACAUUAUUUAAACUGGCAGACUUGAGUAUGGUAGAGGUCACUGGAAUUCCAAGUGUAGGAGUGAAAUCCGUAGAUAUUUGGAGGAACACCGAUGGCGUAGGCAGGUGACUGGGCCAUUACUGACACUGAGGCACGAAAGCGUGGGGAGCAAACGGGA
Molecule: ribosomal RNA, 254 nt
Filed under: uncultured prokaryote
Description: partial 16S ribosomal RNA
Rfam family: Bacterial small subunit ribosomal RNA
Source: RNAcentral